GAGCGCACACGUUGGUACCCGAAAGAUGGUGAACUAUGCCUGGCCAGGACGAAGCCAGGGGAAACCCUGAUGGAGGUCCGUAGCA
RNAcentral lists this ribosomal RNA (85 nucleotides) under Ecdyonurus submontanus. RNAcentral describes it as "partial 28S ribosomal RNA". It matches the Rfam family "Eukaryotic large subunit ribosomal RNA", at positions 798 to 882 of the family's 3401-position model. The record is from RNAcentral. Lineage: Eukaryota; Metazoa; Arthropoda; Insecta; Ephemeroptera; Heptageniidae.